CCCUUAGAUGUUCUGGGCUGCACGCGCGCUACAAUGGCGUUUUCAAAAAGAUUGCUAAUCCGAAAGGACCAGCGGAUCUUCGAAGUGGCGUCGUGAUUGGGACAGUUGAUUGCAAUUAUUCGACUCGAACGAGGAAUUCCUUGUAAUCGUGCGUCAUCAGCGCACGCUGAAUACGUCCCUGUUCUUUGUACACACCGCCCGUCGCUCCUACCGAUCGAGCGAUCCAAUGAAUGUUUCGGAGCGGAACUGAGAUGCUAAUGCGUCUCUUUUACGCGAAUUUGUGUGAAUUUGAUCGCUUAGAGGAAGGAGAAGUCGUAACA
RNAcentral lists this ribosomal RNA (320 nucleotides) under uncultured eukaryote. RNAcentral describes it as "partial 18S ribosomal RNA". It matches the Rfam family "Eukaryotic small subunit ribosomal RNA", at positions 1470 to 1796 of the family's 1831-position model. The record is from RNAcentral.